This 466-nucleotide ribosomal RNA is filed under the name uncultured bacterium. RNAcentral describes it as "partial 16S ribosomal RNA". It matches the Rfam family "Bacterial small subunit ribosomal RNA", at positions 28 to 507 of the family's 1533-position model. The record is from RNAcentral.
GAUGAACGCUGGCGGCGUGCUUAACACAUGCAAGUCGAACGAUGAAGCUCAGCUUGCUGGGUGGAUUAGUGGCGAACGGGUGAGUAACACGUGAGUAACCUGCCCUUAACUCUGGGAUAAGCCUGGGAAACUAGGUCUAAUACCGGAUAGGAGCGCCUACCGCAUGGUGGGUGUUGGAAAGAUUUAUCGGUUUUGGAUGGACUCGCGGCCUAUCAGCUUGUUGGUGAGGUAAUGGCUCACCAAGGCGACGACGGGUUGCCGGCCUGAGAGGGUGACCGGCCACACUGGGACUGAGACACGGCCCAGACUCCUACGGGAGGCAGCAGUGGGGAAUAUUGCACAAUGGGCGAAAGCCUGAUGCAGCGACGCCGCGUGAGGGAUGACGGCCUUCGGGUUGUAAACCUCUUUCAGUAGGGAAGAAGCGAAAGUGACGGUACCUGCAGAAGAAGCACCGGCUAACUACGUG